CUCUUAUCGAGAGUGGCAGAGGGACUGGCCCGAUGAAGCCCGGCAACCAUUCAUUUUUAUGAACAGGUGCUAAAUCCUGCAAAAUACGGAGGUAUUUUGAAAGAUAGGAG
Molecule: non-coding RNA, 110 nt
Filed under: Bacillus sp. (in: firmicutes)
Lineage: Bacteria; Bacillati; Bacillota; Bacilli; Caryophanales; Bacillaceae
Also listed under: 1 other name
Description: Bacillus sp. SAM-I sequence
Rfam family: SAM riboswitch aptamer (S box leader)
About the family: The SAM riboswitch is found upstream of a number of genes which code for proteins involved in methionine or cysteine biosynthesis in Gram-positive bacteria. The SAM riboswitch acts at the level of transcription termination control.
Source: RNAcentral